CAAACACCUUGUUAUUGAGUCACUCCCUGUGAAGUAAAGUAUAAAAGAUAGGACUCCUCAUUGACCAUCACACAAUCUACACUGAAGUUCUGAAAGCGAAGAUUUAACAAAAGAUUCAUCAUGGCAGUCAUGAGAGCUCUUGUGCUUCUUUUCUUGGUCUUUUCUGUUGAGAGUGCACCAGCUGAAGAAGACUGCCCAUAUGGAUGGACACCUUUUGGUGUGAAAUGCUACAAAUUCUUCUCUCAUCCAGUAAACUGGGCCACAGCUGAGAAAAACUGUCAAUCUAUUGAUGCAAAUCUUGCAUCUGUGCGCAGUAAAGUGGAAAACAACUUUCUCCUGAGUCUGCUUGCGUCUGCUGACACACGUGCUUGGAUUGGUGGCCAUGAUGGCGAAAUUG
Molecule: non-coding RNA, 397 nt
Organism: Paramisgurnus dabryanus
Lineage: Eukaryota; Metazoa; Chordata; Actinopteri; Cypriniformes; Cobitidae
Source: RefSeq, a predicted model, not a curated record